AUGGGCAUGCGUGCCAUUAGUUAGAUGGUGAGGUACCGGCUCACCAUGACAUCGAUGGCUAGGGGUUCUGCAAGGAAGAUCCCCCACACUGGUACUGAGACACGGACCAGACUCCUACGGGAGGCAGCAGUGAGGAAUAUUGGUCAAUGGAGGCAACUCUGAACCAGCCAAGCCGCGUGAAGGAAGACUGUUCUAUGAAUUGUAAACUUCUUUUGUGGUAGAGUAAAUAUAGCUACGUGUAGUUAUUUGCAAGUAUACCAUGAAUAAGCAUCGGCUAACUCCGUGCCAGCAGCCGCGGUAAUACGGAGGAUGCAGGCGUUAUCCGGAUUUAUUAGGUUUAAAGGGUGUCUAGGCUGCCACAUAAAGUCAGGGGUGACAGUCGGUUGCUCAACAAUCGAAUUGCCUUUGAAACUGUGUGGCUCGAAUAUAGAUGAGGUAGGCGGAAUGUGUAGUGUAGCGGUGAAAUGCAUAGAUAUUGCACAGAACACCAAUUGCGAAGGCAGCUUACCAAACUUAUUAUUGACGCUGAAGCACGAAAGCGUGGGUAGCGAACAGGAUUAGAUACCCUGGUAGUCCACGCCGUAAACUAUGCUCACUCGCUGUUGGCAAUACAUGGUCAGCGGCUAAGGGAAACCGAUAAGUGAGCCACCUGGGGAGUACGAUCGCAAGAUUGAAACUCAAAGGAAUUGACGGGGGCCCGCACAAGCGGAGGAACAUGUGGUUUAAUUCGAUGAUACGCGAGGAACCUUACCUGGGCUUAAAUGUAGAGUGCAUUACGUAGAAAUAUGUAUUUCCUUCGGGACUCUUUACAAGGUGCUGCAUGGUUGUCGUCAGCUCGUGCCGUGAGGUGUCGGGUUAAGUCCCAUAACGAGCGCAACCCCUAUUGUUAGUUACCAGCGCGUAAAGGCGGGGACUCUAGCGAAACUGCCGGUGUAAACCGCGAGGAAGGUGGGGAUGACGUCAAAUCAGCACGGGCCCUUAUGUCCAGGGCUACACACGUGUUACAAUGGCCGGUACAGUGGGCAGCCACAUAGCGAUAUGGAGCUAAUCUCAAAAGCCGGUCUCAGUUCGGAUUGGAGUCUGCAACCCGACUCCAUGAAGGUGGAUUCGCUAGUAAUCGCGCAUCAGCCAUGGCGCGGUGAAUACGUUCCCGGGCAUUGUACACACCGCCCGUCAAGCCAUGGAAGUUUGGGGUGCCUGAAGUU
Molecule: ribosomal RNA, 1205 nt
Filed under: uncultured organism
Description: bacterial SSU rRNA
Rfam family: Bacterial small subunit ribosomal RNA
Source: RNAcentral